This is a long non-coding RNA of Macaca mulatta (Rhesus monkey), 1323 nucleotides long. RefSeq lists it as uncharacterized. Lineage: Eukaryota; Metazoa; Chordata; Mammalia; Primates; Cercopithecidae. The record is from RefSeq and is a predicted model, not a curated record.
GUCAACAACUCCUUAUUAUGAAGGCACUUCUGAGCCUUUCCUCCUGCAUCUGGGAGCUACCAGCAACCCAGUUCCAGGAGAGAAAAUAGCUCGACACCUCCUGCAGCCCGUGGAGUCCUCUUGUUGGGACAAGGUCCCCCCAGGAGAGAGGAACCCCCAGCAGGUUCAACACUGGAGGUCCUGGGAGUGGGUGGUGCUGGGGAGGCCAUGCGGGGAGGGCUGUUCCCUGUUCCCUUCCCCUCAGGAGACAGUUUGCCCAAGGUGACACAGCACCGGAUGGGAUUUCAGGGUCAGGGACCACGGACCCCGGAGCUGUGGACCACACCAGCCCAAAGCCACUGCAUGCCCCACACCGGGGCUGUGGAUCACACCAGCCCACGGCCACUGCAUGCCCCAGACCAACACGAGAAGAGUGCAGACCAACAACAUCUUCGUCUACGGGAGCCGGUCCCGGGGCCAGCCUCGCUGUCCUCAAGGAGUCGAUCCCGGGGCCAACCUCGCUGGACUCAGAAAGUCGGUUCCAGGACCCCAUGGACACCAAAUCCAGGCACAUUCAAACCGCACAGGUGGACCUGCUGAACCUGCGUGUACAAAGACUCGGCCCUCCGACAAGCGUUUCACAUGGCAGGAACACUGUAUUUUCUGCGUGUACAAAGAAUCAGCCCUCCGACAUGAGUUUCACGUAGCAGAACACUGUAUUUUCUCCCUGAGUUUGGUUGAAAAAAUCCACCUAUAAGUUGACCCGCAAAGCUCAAGCUUGUGUUGGACAAGAGUCAACUGUAUGCAAUUGACACUGAUUCCUACCAACAAUAUCCAGAUCUUACCAUGACCAGCAUGAUAAACAGAAUGAGCAAAAUUUAAAAACUAAAGCAGAGUUUUUUCCUGCGAGUUGGUGCACUGCGUAUCCCCUGUGGGAAAGACCACACUGGCUGCUGACCAAACUCCACCGGCCUCUUCCUCCGUCCUGAGGGCAUCUUCCUCCAUCCUGACAGCAGCCUGGGCUCACCUCAGUCCCAGGGCAGGGGAGGGGGACGCACUGUGCACCCUCCCAGCUCUCCUCCGCCCCUUCCCUCACGCUGGCCCAAGAGCAGCCUGGACACUCACUUGCUGGGGACACCAAGUUGCCCCUCCUCCGCCCACAGCCUCAGGCCACCUGUCUCAUCUGUGACUGAGAAAUAGAGCUGCAGCUGGAGGCGGGAGGCGGGACACGCUGGGAUCUACCCAUGGCCAGGCCGAGCUGCUCGGAUCACUCAAACUUCACUUUCCUCACUCGCUCUACCAAAUAGACUAGAAUAAAAUAUGUCGCAUCCUCCUUUCCACACA